AAUGCCCGCAGCCCAGGAUUCCUCCUAAGCCACGUCCCAUCUGUGUGGGACCCCACUGAAAAUCGGACUGUUCAACUCACCUGGCAGCCAUUCCCAGAGCCCCUGGAACUCUGGCCCAAGGCUCUCUGACUGACUCCUUCCCAGAUCUUCUCGGCUUAGCGGCUAAAGACUGAUGCUGCCCGAUCGCCUCGGAAGCCCCGUAGACCAUCACGGAUGCCGAGCUUCCGGUAACUCUCACAGUGGAAGCUAUAGGUAUAUACAAAAGGAAAAUUAACCUGUGGGCCAUCAUCAUCUUUGCUACUCAAAGUAUGAUUGCUGUACCAGCAGCCUGGGCAUCACUCGUGAGCUUGUUAGAAAUGCAGACUCUCAGGCCCCACUCCAGCCCCACUGACUCAUCAUCUGCAUUUGAUCAAGACUCCCAGGUGUCUCAUAUGCACACUAAACUUUGAUAAUCACUAAACUAUACCACUGUUGUUAAAUCAGCCUGCUUGUUAAGACUGGGCAUUGUGCAAACGGAAAACAAGCAUUGGAGUCAGAAGAAUUCAAUUUCUGCCUCCUUCUUGCAGAGCACCUUGGGCAAAAACAACCAUAAAGACUUUUGCCCACAUUUUUUCCUCACUCCCUCUUCCAUCUAACCAACCCUGAUGCUUUUGUGUGGCCCUGUGUGGUGAGGCAUGCCUCCUUCUCUGGAAAACUGUGAGUAACACAUUAUCUUUUCAAUGCCAAUCAUCUUCUCCUCUGUUGACCUUAGCAAACUUGAAUAAACAUAAAACUUACAUUUUAAGAGUUGUCUCACUUUCUAACACUUCUAUAGUCUAGGGUUCAUUUUUUCCAUUUUUUGAGAAGACAAAGCUAAGACUCCUCCAUCUAUCUUAGAGCCUUCCAUCUUCUUUAAACCAAUAUGGUAUGGUGAGAAGAGGGAAAUAUUUCUAGUAAAAUAGAUUGGUCAGAAUUCAAAUAUCACCUAGUAUGACUCUGGCAGUAACAAAUAGCUGCAAGCAUCUUAGUCAUUCUAUACAUAAAAGUGUAUUGCCCACUCACCAAACCCUCUGCAAGUCUGGAUACUCUCCAGUGCAGCUCACUUCCCAGCAGCUAAGUAUGGAUUCUUCCAGGUUCUAUUUUGUAGCUCCAUCAUCUCAACUCAUGGCUUCUGGGGUCUUCAAGACCUCAGGCAAGAAGAAAGUGAAAAGAACACACACUGAUCAUAAGCAUUAUAUCUGGAGAUGACACGUCACAUUCAUACACAGGUUAUUGGCCAGAAGUCAUCAUAUAACUAACCUAACAAGGAAGUUUGUAAAUAUAGUGGAGUACAUGAAUAUUUGGUGAGUGCUUCCUGUGACAACCACUUCUGCCACUUUUUAGCUUUUUUGCCUUGGGAAAUAUCUUUACCUUCCAUUAGCAUAUUGUGGUGUCCCAAGUGCAGAGUUCAAUAGCGAUUCUACUGGAAAAAUAAGUUGUGAAUCAUUCCUUCCAUUUCUAACACAUGGAUGCAAUGAGUUUAAUAUUCAUUCACUCUGUAGUCACUCAGAGCUCCAUGAACUUUCCUUGGUGGAGUAACCUCUUUACUUAUACUUACAAUAUAAAUUACUAAAAAUUGCAUUCCAUUUUGUCCUUAUUUUCACUUUCAACUUUGGCUUGAGGCUUCUUGUAUGUUUUUAUUUGGGUUGUGUUGAUUUUUUUAAUAUAUAUAUAGUCUAGAAACAGAAUCAUACACAGAUAACUGUCUCAAUAUUCAAAUAGGUCUAAAGAAAAUUGGAGUCUCUUUUAGGAUACCACAGAAAUUAAAUCAACCUAUCAUUUCCUGCUUUAGCUACUUUAUUUCUCUUUUUAUCUGCUGUUUCUCCCUAUUCUGAGUGUCUCUCCAAUUGUAGCACCUCUUUGGGGCCACGUCAUGUGGGACCCCUUCAUAGAUCACUGUUCAGUCUAUAUAUGGUUGUGUUGGUCGCUUACAUAGUCCCAAUACAAUCUGGCACUGUAAGAGUUGCUGAAGGUCAUAUGACACCCUGCACUGUAUAACUCACCCCCGUCAGCUUAUCUCAAAAGAUAGCUUUGGUUGUAGCA
RNAcentral lists this long non-coding RNA (2061 nucleotides) under Homo sapiens (human). Its description in RNAcentral is "HSALNT0009462". Lineage: Eukaryota; Metazoa; Chordata; Mammalia; Primates; Hominidae. The record is from RNAcentral.